Molecule: ribosomal RNA, 492 nt
Filed under: uncultured bacterium
Lineage: Bacteria
Description: partial 16S ribosomal RNA
Rfam family: Bacterial small subunit ribosomal RNA
Source: RNAcentral
GAUGAACGCUAGCUACAGGCUUAACACAUGCAAGUCGAGGGGAAACGACAUCGAAAGCUUGCUUUUGAUGGGCGUCGACCGGCGCACGGGUGAGUAACGCGUAUCCAACCUGCCCAUCACUUGGGAAUAACCUUGCGAAAGUAAGACUAAUACCCAAUGACAUCCCACGAAGACAUCUGAAUGGGAUUAAAGUUUUAUCGGUGAUGGAUGGGGAUGCGUCUGAUUAGCUUGUUGGCGGGGUAACGGCCCACCAAGGCAACGAUCAGUAGGGGUUCUGAGAGGAAGGUCCCCCACAUUGGAACUGAGACACGGUCCAAACUCCUACGGGAGGCAGCAGUGAGGAAUAUUAGUCAAUGGGCGAGAGCCUGAACCAGCCAAGUAGCGUGCAGGAUGACGGCCAUAUGGGUUGUAAACUGCUUUUAUAAGGGAAUAGAGUGGGUCUCGUGAGACUUUUUGCAUGUACCUUAUGAAUAAGGACCGGCUAAUUCCGUG